UUGGAGGGCAAGUCUGGUGCCAGCAGCCGCGGUAAUUCCAGCUCCAAUAGCGUAUAUUAAAGUUGUUGCAGUUAAAAAGCUCGUAGUUGAAUUUCGGGAUCAAUAUAUUGGUCGUGCCUCUGGUAUGCACUGGUAUUAUUGAUUUCUACCUUCUGACGAACUGUGAUGUCAUUAAUUUGGUGUCAUGGGGAAUCAGGACUGUUACUUUGAAAAAAUUAGAGUGUUUAAAGCAGGCACACGCUUGAAUACAUUAGCAUGGAAUAAUGAAAUAGGACGUUUGACCCUAUUUUGUUGGUUUCUAGGAUCGACGUAAUGAUUAAUAGGGAUAGUUGGGGGCAUUAGUAUUCAAUUGUCAGAGGUGAAAUUCUUGGAUUUAUUGAAGACUAACUACUGCGAAAGCAUUUGCCAAGGAUGUUUUCAUUAAUCAAGAACGAAAGUUAGGGGAUCGAAGACGAUCAGAUACCGUCGUAGUCUUAACCAUAAACUAUGCCGACUAGGGAUCGGAUGAUGUUAAUUUUUUAAUGACUCAUUCGGCGCCUACGGGAAAC
This 548-nucleotide ribosomal RNA is filed under the name uncultured Glomeromycotina. RNAcentral describes it as "SSU rRNA". It matches the Rfam family "Eukaryotic small subunit ribosomal RNA", at positions 548 to 1098 of the family's 1831-position model. The record is from RNAcentral. Lineage: Eukaryota; Fungi; Glomeromycota.